AGCGGCGAACGGGUGAGUAACACGUAGGUUAUCUGCCCAUCAGACGGGGACAACGAUUGGAAACGAUCGCUAAUACCGGAUAGGACGAAAGUUUAAAGGUGCUUCGGCACCACUGAUGGAUGAGCCUGCGGCGCAUUAGCUAGUUGGUAGGGUAAAGGCCUACCAAGGCGACGAUGCGUAGCCGACCUGAGAGGGUGAACGGCCACACUGGGACUGAGACACGGCCCAGACUCCUACGGGAGGCAGCAGUAGGGAAUCUUCGGCAAUGGGCGAAAGCCUGACCGAGCAACGCCGCGUGAAUGAUGAAGGCCUUCGGGUUGUAAAAUUCUGUUAUAAGGGAAGAAUGGCUCUAGUAGGAAAUGGCUAGAGUGUGACGGUACCUUAUGAGAAAGCCACGGCUAACUACGUGCCAGCAGCCGCGGUAAUACGUAGGUGGCGAGCGUUAUCCGGAAUUAUUGGGCGUAAAGAGCGCGCAGGUGGUUGAUUAAGUCUGAUGUGAAAGCCCACGGCUUAACCGUGGAGGGUCAUUGGAAACUGGUCAACUUGAGUGCAGAAGAGGGAAGUGGAAUUCCAUGUGUAGCGGUGAAAUGCGUAGAGAUAUGGAGGAACACCAGUGGCGAAGGCGGCUUCCUGGUCUGUAACUGACACUGAGGCGCGAAAGCGUGGGGAGCAAACAGGAUUAGAUACCCUGGUAGUCCACGCCGUAAACGAUGAGUACUAGGUGU
RNAcentral lists this ribosomal RNA (725 nucleotides) under uncultured bacterium. RNAcentral describes it as "bacterial SSU rRNA". It matches the Rfam family "Bacterial small subunit ribosomal RNA", at positions 94 to 823 of the family's 1533-position model. The record is from RNAcentral.